AAAAAUUUAUGAUAAAAGAGAUGAUUUUUCAUUUCCUAUCGUUAAUUAUCCAUUUUUAGAUGCUGAUGUUCCCUUGUCACCAUCUUAUGGUGUUUGUAUAUCUCAACUUGAACGAUUCGCUCGUGUAUGUAACAACGUAUUCGAUUUUAGCGAGAGAAAUUUAUGUAUUACUGAAAAAUUAUUACACCAGGGUUUUCGAUAUCACAAAAUAGUCAAAAUAUUUACUAAAUUUUAUCAUCGGUAUAAGGAAAUAAUUCGUAAAUAUAACUCAACAUGCAGACA
This 282-nucleotide long non-coding RNA is filed under the name Mytilus galloprovincialis (Mediterranean mussel). The record is from RNAcentral. Lineage: Eukaryota; Metazoa; Mollusca; Bivalvia; Mytilida; Mytilidae.